RNAcentral lists this ribosomal RNA (433 nucleotides) under uncultured bacterium. RNAcentral describes it as "partial 16S ribosomal RNA". It matches the Rfam family "Bacterial small subunit ribosomal RNA", at positions 29 to 507 of the family's 1533-position model. The record is from RNAcentral.
AACGAACGCUGGCGGCAUGCCUAACACAUGCGAGUCGAACGAGACCUUCGGGUCUUGUGGCGCACGGGUGCGUAACGCGUGGGAACCUGCCCUUAGGUUCGGAAUAACUCUCCGAAAGGGGUGCUAAUACCGGAUAAUGUCUUCGGACCAAAGAUUUAUCGCCCUUGGAUGGGCCCGCGUUGGAUUAGCUAGUUGGUAGGGUAAAAGCCUACUAAGGCGACAAUCCAUAGCUGGUCUGAGAGGAUGAUCAGCCACACUGGGAGGGGGACACGGCCGAGAAUCCUACGGGAGGCAGCAGUGGGGAAUAGUGGACAGUGGGCGAAGGGCUGAUGCAGCUAGGCCGCGUGAGUGAUGAAGGCAGUAGGGUUGUAAAGCUCUUUUACCCGGGAUGAUAAUGACAGUACCGGGAGAAUAAGCGCCGGCUAACUCCGUG